GAGAGCAGAACACAACACAAUCUUCAUCAUCACACAAGACAAAACAACAACAAUGAACAACAUCAUCAUCCUCAUCUGGACACUCACACUGUUUGCUCGAGAGUGUAGAGGACAGAUCACUGUAACUCAGAGUCCAUCAAUAACAGCAGCUCAAGGACAAGAAGCCAGAAUAAACUGUAAAACCAGUAGUAAUGUCUACAGUGAUCGUUAUGGGCCACGGUUGCACUGGUACUUACAGAAACCUGGAGAAGCUCCUAAACUCCUCAUAUAUCUUGCAUCAACCCGUUACACAGGAACUUCAUCUAGAUUCAGUGGCAGUGGAUCUGGAAGUGAUUUCACUCUCACCAUCAGUGGAGUCCAGACUGAAGAUACAGGAGAUUAUUACUGUCAGAGUGAACACCACAUCAGUAGUAGCUGGGUGUGGACUUUCGGUGGAGGAACUAAACUGCUGCUCGCUGGUCCCACACUGAAGCCCUCAGUGUCUCUGCUGCCGCCCUCUUCUCUGCAGAUCUCUGGAGGUUCAGCCGCACUGCUCUGCCUGCUCAGCUCUUACUCUCCACAGGGGGCGCAGGUGAGCUGGACACUGGACGGCUCAGAGGUCACCGAGGGGGUUGUGACCAGCGCAGAGAGCGAGCAGAACGGCCGCUACAGCCGCAGUAGCGUCCUGACCCUCAGCAAAGCACGCUGGGAAGCGGGAGAGGAGUAUGUCUGCAAAGUAACACAUGCUGGAGCUCCUCAUGAGGUCUCGUUCCACAAGAGUCUCUGUUAGUCGCCGCAGUGCUGAUGUUUCUCCAGCGAGCGCUGCUCUCUCCUGAAGAUGAGCCGUAUCUGAGUGUCCUGUGUCAGGCAGGAUUCACAUGAGUCUAGUGCUGCAGCUGUAGUCAUUUACAACUCAAUACUGAAAGAGAGCUCUAGUGUCGAAGCACUGGCUGAUCUUUCAAUCUGCUGUGUUUGUUGCAACAUUCAAUAAAGCUUCUCAACAAACUCCA
Molecule: non-coding RNA, 989 nt
Organism: Onychostoma macrolepis
Lineage: Eukaryota; Metazoa; Chordata; Actinopteri; Cypriniformes; Cyprinidae
Source: the annotation of a RefSeq genome assembly